ACAGCAGUAGCCGCGGUAAUACGUAGGGCGCAAGCGUUAUCCGGAAUUAUUGGGCGUAAAGAGCUCGUAGGCGGUUUGUCGCGUCUGCCGUGAAAGUCCGGGGCUCAACCCCGGAUCUGCGGUGGGUACGGGCAGACUAGAGUGAUGUAGGGGAGACUGGAAUUCCUGGUGUAGCGGUGAAAUGCGCAGGUAUCAGGAGGAACACCGAUGGCGAAGGCAGGUCUCUGGGCAUUAACUGACGCUGAGGAGCGAAAGCAUGGGGAGCGAACAGGAUUAGAUACCCCCGUAGUCCCUGUCUCUUAUAA
This 305-nucleotide ribosomal RNA is filed under the name uncultured bacterium. Its description in RNAcentral is "partial 16S ribosomal RNA". It matches the Rfam family "Bacterial small subunit ribosomal RNA", at positions 506 to 809 of the family's 1533-position model. The record is from RNAcentral.